Molecule: long non-coding RNA, 298 nt
Filed under: Marmota monax (woodchuck)
Lineage: Eukaryota; Metazoa; Chordata; Mammalia; Rodentia; Sciuridae
Source: RNAcentral
GAGGGGGCGGCGCGGCCGCCGGUGGGGGGCGCUGAGCUCAGAGCUGCCGCAGCGCCGGAGCCGGAGCGCGCGAGCUAGCAGGGCGCUAGGAGCACCCGUGGUGGCAACGCACCCAAGACCCGGGCACCGCUGCGCCCCUGCUCAGGGUCCGUGACUGUAGCUCCUGAUCACGGCCAGAACCCCCACUGGCCCCGAGCCCACCCCAGCCCGGCCUAGCCGAGCCCCCGCGUCUGCUAGCAGCAGCCGCCGCAGCCGCCGCUCCAACCCCAGCCCGGGCCCCGCAACCAGGUGAGGCGGC